AGAGUUUGAUCCUGGCUCAGGAUGAACGCUGGCGGCGUGCCUAACACAUGCAAGUCGAACGGAGCGCCCGGACGGAGUAUUUCGGUACAAAGACCGGGUGGCUGAGUGGCGGACGGGUGAGUAACGCGUGGACAACCUGCCGUGUACAGGGGGAUAACAGCCGGAAACGGCUGCUAAUACCGCAUAUGCGCACAGUGCCGCAUGGCACAGUGCGGAAAGCCUAGAUCUUAUCUAGUACGGUACACGAUGGGUCCGCGUCUGAUUAGGUAGUUGGCGGGGUAACGGCCCACCAAGCCCACGAUCAGUAGCCGGCCUGAGAGGGCGGACGGCCACACUGGGACUGAGACACGGCCCAGACUCCUGCGGGAGGCAGCAGUGGGGAAUAUUGCACAAUGGGGGGAACCCUGAUGCAGCGACGCCGCGUGAAGGAAGAAGUAUCUCGGUAUGUAAACUUCUAUCAGCAGGGAAGAAAGAGGACGGUACCUGACUAAGAAGCCCCGGCUAACUACGUGCCAGCAGCCGCGGUAAUACGUAGGGGGCGAGCGUUAUCCGGAUUUACUGGGUGUAAAGGGAGCGUAGACGGCCAUGCAAGCUCGGUGUGAAAGGUGCGGGCACAACCCGCAGACUGCACUGAGAACUGUAUGGCUGGAGUGCCGGAGGGGCAGGCGGAAUUCCUGGUGUAGCGGUGAAAUGCGUAGAUAUCAGGAGGAACACCGGUGGCGAAGGCGGCCUGCUGGACGGCGACUGACGUUGAGGCUCGAAAGCGUGGGGAGCGAACAAAAUUAGAUACCCUGGUAGUCCACGCCGUAAACGAUGUAUACCAGGGGUCGGG
This 832-nucleotide ribosomal RNA is filed under the name uncultured bacterium. RNAcentral describes it as "bacterial SSU rRNA". It matches the Rfam family "Bacterial small subunit ribosomal RNA", at positions 8 to 827 of the family's 1533-position model. The record is from RNAcentral.